Molecule: ribosomal RNA, 460 nt
Filed under: uncultured bacterium
Lineage: Bacteria
Description: partial 16S ribosomal RNA
Rfam family: Bacterial small subunit ribosomal RNA
Source: RNAcentral
CCUACGGGUGGCAGCAGUGAGGAAUAUUGGUCAAUGGACGCAAGUCUGACCCAUCCAUGCCGCGUGCAGGAUGACGGCCCUAUGAGUUGUAAACUGCUUUUGUACGAGGGUAAACGCAGAUACGCGUAUCUGUCUGAAAGUACCGUACGAAUAAGGAUCGGCGAACUCCGUGCCAGCAGCCGCGGUAAUACGGAGGAUUCAAGCGUUAUCCGGAUUUAUUGGGUUUAAGGGGUGUGUAGGCGGUCGGAUAAGUUAGAGGUGAAAUCCCGGGGCUCAACUUCGGAAUUGCCUCUGAUACUGGUCGGCUAGAGAGUAGUUGAGGUAGGCGGAAUGUAAGGUGUAGCGGUGAAAUGCUUAGAGAUCAGACAGAACACCGAUUGCGAAGGCAGCUUACCAAGCUACUUCUGACGUUGAGGCACGAAAGCGUGGGGAGCAAACAGGAUUAGAUACCCCAGUAGUC